AAGGUUAUAUGAUCAAGUAAAGGAAGGCCAACAAGGCGGAAUGCCUUGGCAGCAUAAGGCGAUGAAGGACGUAAUAACCCUGCGAUAAGCCUCGGGGAGCUGGUAAAUAAGCUUCGAUCCGAGGAUUU
Molecule: ribosomal RNA, 128 nt
Filed under: uncultured bacterium
Lineage: Bacteria
Description: partial 23S ribosomal RNA
Rfam family: Bacterial large subunit ribosomal RNA
Source: RNAcentral